This 76-nucleotide transfer RNA is filed under the name Candidatus Vogelbacteria bacterium RIFOXYD1_FULL_46_19. Its description in RNAcentral is "tRNA-Ile". It matches the Rfam family "tRNA". From Rfam's summary of the family: Transfer RNA (tRNA) molecules are approximately 80 nucleotides in length. Their secondary structure includes four short double-helical elements and three loops (D, anti-codon, and T loops). The record is from RNAcentral. Lineage: Bacteria; Candidatus Vogeliibacteriota.
GCGCGUGUAGCUCAGUUGGUAGAGCGCGGAGCUUAUACCUCCGUGGUCCCAGGUUCGAGUCCUGGCACGCGCACAA